Molecule: ribosomal RNA, 422 nt
Filed under: uncultured Flavisolibacter sp.
Lineage: Bacteria; Pseudomonadati; Bacteroidota; Chitinophagia; Chitinophagales; Chitinophagaceae
Description: bacterial SSU rRNA
Rfam family: Bacterial small subunit ribosomal RNA
Source: RNAcentral
UAAGGAAUAUUGGUCAAUGGACGCAAGUCUGAACCAGCCAUGCCGCGUGAAGGAUGAAGGUCCUCUGGAUUGUAAACUUCUUUUAUGGGGGAAGAAACCUCUUGAUUCUUCGAGAGUUGACGGUACCCUAGGAAUAAGCACCGGCUAACUCCGUGCCAGCAGCCGCGGUAAUACGGAGGGUGCAAGCGUUAUCCGGAUUCACUGGGUUUAAAGGGUGCGUAGGAGGGCAGGUAAGUCAGUGGUGAAAUCUCCGGGCUUAACUCGGAAACUGCCGUUGAUACUAUCUGUCUUGAAUAUUGUGGAGGUGAGCGGAAUAUGUCAUGUAGCGGUGAAAUGCUUAGAUAUGACAUAGAACACCAAUUGCGAAGGCAGCUCGCUACACAUAUAUUGACUCUGAGGCACGAAAGCGUGGGGAUCAAACA